This 345-nucleotide unclassified non-coding RNA is filed under the name soil metagenome. RNAcentral's name for it is "partial contains 5.8S ribosomal RNA, internal transcribed spacer 2, and large subunit ribosomal RNA". The stretch from base 1 to 120 matches the Rfam family "5.8S ribosomal RNA", at positions 35 to 154 of the family's 154-position model. The record is from RNAcentral.
GAUGAAGAACGCAGCGAAAUGCGAUACGUAAUGUGAAUUGCAGAAUUCAGUGAAUCAUCGAGUCUUUGAACGCACAUUGCGCCCCCUGGUAUUCCGGGGGGCAUGCCUGUCCGAGCGUCAUUGCUGCCCUCAAGCUCGGCUUGUGUGUUGGGCCUCCGUCCUCCUCCCGGGGGACGGGCCCGAAAGGCAGCGGCGGCACCGCGUCCGGUCCUCGAGCGUAUGGGGCUUCGUCACCCGCUCUUGUAGGCCCGGCCGGCGCUUGCCGAAACAUCAAUCUUUUUUCCAGGUUGACCUCGGAUCAGGUAGGGAUACCCGCUGAACUUAAGCAUAUCAAUAAGCGGAGGA